RNAcentral lists this long non-coding RNA (262 nucleotides) under Macaca mulatta (Rhesus monkey). Its description in RNAcentral is "lncRNA (ENSMMUG00000059915.1)". Lineage: Eukaryota; Metazoa; Chordata; Mammalia; Primates; Cercopithecidae. The record is from RNAcentral.
GAAACAAAAAAAGAAAAUCGAAUGGAGGAGUAGGAAUAACAAAAUGGAGACAGCAGCAGAAGACAGAGAGAGGUGGACAAGAGAACACCCUCAAGAUAAAGAGACCAGGGCACAGAAAGGGAAGAGGCAAAGAGACAAGUACAUGAGGAAACAUGUCAGACUUGGAGCUGCUGUGUUCUUCCUCAACUAUCUCACCCCUAAUCUUCAACUUGAUGCCUGUGACCACACUAUGGCAGCAGUCUCCAGCCUGGUUGUACAUUAG